RNAcentral lists this ribosomal RNA (482 nucleotides) under uncultured bacterium. RNAcentral describes it as "partial 16S ribosomal RNA". It matches the Rfam family "Bacterial small subunit ribosomal RNA", at positions 30 to 507 of the family's 1533-position model. The record is from RNAcentral.
AUUGAACGCUGGCGGCAUGCUUUACACAUGCAAGUCGAACGGUAACAGGCCGCAGGGUGCUGCCGUGUGGAGGACGGGUGGAUAAUGCAUCGGAACGUGCCCAGCCGUGGGGGAUAACUACUCGAAAGAUUAGCUAAUACCGCAUACGCGCUAUGGAUGACAGCAGGAGACCGUAAGACCUCGCGCGCUUUUGGCGUCCGAUGUCAGAUUAGGUAGUUGGUGGGGUAAAGGCUCACCAAGCCAACGAUCUGUAGCUGGUCUGAGAGGACGACCAGCCACACUGGGACUGAGACACGGCCCAGACUCCUACGGGAGGCAGCAGUGGGGAAUUUUGGACAAUGGGCGCAAGCCUGAUGCAGCAAUGCCGCGUGUAGGAAGAAGGCCUUCGGGUUGUAAACUGCUUUUGUACGGAACGAAACGGCUCUGGUUAAUACCCGUGGCUAAUGACGGUACCGUAAGAAUAAGCACCGGCUAACUACGUG